This 301-nucleotide ribosomal RNA is filed under the name uncultured bacterium. RNAcentral's name for it is "partial 16S ribosomal RNA". It matches the Rfam family "Bacterial small subunit ribosomal RNA", at positions 509 to 808 of the family's 1533-position model. The record is from RNAcentral.
CAGCAGCCACGGUAAUACGUAUGUCACGAGCGUUAUCCGGAUUUAUCGGGCGUAAAGCGCGUCUAGGUGGUUAUAUAAGUCUGAUGUGAAAAUGCAGGGCUCAACUCUGUAUUGCGUUGGAAACUGUAUAACUAGAGUACUGGAGAGGUAAGCGGAACUACAAGUGUAGAGGUGAAAUUCGUAGAUAUCCGUAGGAAUGCCGAUGGGGAAGCCAGCUUACUGGACAGAUACUGACGCUGAAGCGCGAAAGCGUGGGUAGCAAACAGGAUUAGAUACCCCGGUAGUCCCUGUCUCUUAUACA